UUCCGUAGGUGAACCUGCGGAAGGAUCAUUACCGAGUGAGGGCCCUCUGGGUCCAACCUCCCACCCGUGUUUAUUUUACCUUGUUGCUUCGGCGGGCCCGCCUUAACUGGCCGCCGGGGGGCUCACGCCCCCGGGCCCGCGCCCGCCGAAGACACCCUCGAACUCUGUCUGAAGAUUGUAGUCUGAGUGAAAAUAUAAAUUAUUUAAAACUUUCAACAACGGAUCUCUUGGUUCCGGCAUCGAUGAAGAACGCAGCGAAAUGCGAUACGUAAUGUGAAUUGCAAAUUCAGUGAAUCAUCGAGUCUUUGAACGCACAUUGCGCCCCCUGGUAUUCCGGGGGGCAUGCCUGUCCGAGCGUCAUUGCUGCCCUCAAGCACGGCUUGUGUGUUGGGCCCCGUCCUCCGAUCCCGGGGGACGGGCCCGAAAGGCAGCGGCGGCACCGCGUCCGGUCCUCGAGCGUAUGGGGCUUUGUCACCCGCUCUGUAGGCCCGGCCGGCGCUUGCCGAUCAACCCAAAUUUUUAUCCAGGUGACCUC
RNAcentral lists this small RNA (535 nucleotides) under Penicillium chrysogenum. RNAcentral's name for it is "eukaryotic LSU rRNA". The stretch from base 208 to 360 matches the Rfam family "5.8S ribosomal RNA". The record is from RNAcentral. Lineage: Eukaryota; Fungi; Ascomycota; Eurotiomycetes; Eurotiales; Aspergillaceae.